The sequence is a transfer RNA, 76 nucleotides long. It matches the Rfam family "tRNA". From Rfam's summary of the family: Transfer RNA (tRNA) molecules are approximately 80 nucleotides in length. Their secondary structure includes four short double-helical elements and three loops (D, anti-codon, and T loops). The record is from Rfam.
AGCACGGUAGCUCGCGGGUAGAGCGCUGGGCUCAUAACCCUGAGGUCCGUCCCUGGAUCGAAACCAGGUCGUGCUA